GCCCGAGUGGCGGAAUGGUAGACGCAGCGGACUCAAAAUCCGCCGAUGGCAACAUCAUGUCGGUUCGAGUCCGACCUCGGGCA
This 83-nucleotide transfer RNA is filed under the name Silicimonas algicola. It matches the Rfam family "tRNA". From Rfam's summary of the family: Transfer RNA (tRNA) molecules are approximately 80 nucleotides in length. The record is from Rfam by way of RNAcentral. Lineage: Bacteria; Pseudomonadati; Pseudomonadota; Alphaproteobacteria; Rhodobacterales; Paracoccaceae.